RNAcentral lists this ribosomal RNA (269 nucleotides) under uncultured bacterium. RNAcentral describes it as "partial 16S ribosomal RNA". It matches the Rfam family "Bacterial small subunit ribosomal RNA", at positions 524 to 790 of the family's 1533-position model. The record is from RNAcentral.
UACGUAGGGUGCAGGCGUUAAUCGGAAUUACUGGGCGUAAAGCGUGCGCAGGCGGUCUCUUAAGACAGGUGUGAAAUCCCCCGGGCUUAACCUGGGAACUGCGCUUGUAACUGAGAGGCUAGAGUGUGGCAGAGGGGGGGUGGAAUUCCACGUGUAGCAGUGAAAUGCGUAGAGAUGUGGAGGAACACCGAUGGCGAAGGCAGCCCCCUGGGCUAACACUGACGCUCAUGCACGAAAGCGUGGGGAGCAAACAGGAUUAGAAACCCCGG